Molecule: ribosomal RNA, 253 nt
Filed under: uncultured bacterium
Lineage: Bacteria
Description: partial 16S ribosomal RNA
Rfam family: Bacterial small subunit ribosomal RNA
Source: RNAcentral
UACGGGGGGGGCAAGCGUUGUUCGGAAUUACUGGGCGUAAAGGGCUCGUAGGCGGCCCACUAAGUCAGACGUGAAAUCCCCAGGCUCAACCUGGGAACUGCGUCUGAUACUGGAUGGCUUGAAUCCGGGAGAGGGAUGCAGAAUUCCAGGUGUAGCGGUGAAAUGCGUAGAUAUCUGGAGGAAUACCGGUGGCGAAGGCGGCUUACUGGUCCGGUUCUGACGCUGAGGCGCGAAAGCGUGGGGAGCAAACAGG